This is a long non-coding RNA of Gasterosteus aculeatus aculeatus (three-spined stickleback), 3989 nucleotides long. NCBI's taxonomy places the organism in Eukaryota, Metazoa, Chordata, Actinopteri, Perciformes, Gasterosteidae. The record is from Ensembl.
ACUCGUGUCUUCGUGCCACCUCUUCGCCACACAGAUCCCAACAAUUGGGACAUUGAUCUGUCCUUGCGCCGAAAUGGUGGAACGAGCUCUCUGAAGACAUCAGGACCACAGAGAGCCUUCACAUCUUCCGCCGCAAACUAAAGACACACCUCUUCAGACUCUACCUCGACUAAAGACUAACAAAUUGUAGCACUUAAAUUGUACUUGUAACGUCACUCAUCUAUAGCAAAUUGUAAAUUGGCUUAUUUGAGGAAAUUGCACUUUCUUGUUUCUUGUUCUCCUGAGUUUGUACCCUAUGGUUGAAUGCACUUAUUGUACGUUGCUUUGGAUAAAAGCGUCCGCUAAAUGACAUGUAAUGUAUCUAUAACGACACUAGUCACCUCACUUCAAAGCUAAAUGUCCUCACUAAUCAAAUGCGCAGGUUCACGGCUUAUUGUCAUUGAUUCCUUGGAUAUCACAAAAGCAAAUAUGAAGAUGAAAGAACUGGCAGAAGAACUAGAAGAAGGAAGUGGAGGUGGGUUGAGAAUGGUGGGUGUGCCAAGCAGACUUUGACAUAGAGGAGAAGUUUGAAAACUGAAAGUGUGCGGCUUUGGUUCCGUUUAAAGAAAGGUCACAGUUUCUGGACGGCAACAAAAUGAUCAGCGUUCAUUUAAAAACACAUUAAUUAGUGUAUAUUCAGUGCGUGGGUGUAAAAUGAGCCGAUCCGGACAACUUUACGCAUGCUGAUUCUCAAUGGCUGAGCUUGGUUGCUCGUCUUGUAUGUCUCGGCAAUGGCCUCUGAAACCCAGUAGGGUGGGUGCUGCUUUAAAAGAGAGCACAGCCCUCAGUUCCAGCAUAACUGACCGUUCUAAGCCGCUCUAUCCAAGCGGGAACUUCUACACAAGCUCUGAGGGCCCGCACUUGGCACGGUAGCCCUGACCUCGCCUCUCCUGCUGGAAGGGGGGUCAACUGUGCAGGCUAAAUAGGCUGGUUGAUACGUGAGCUUGUUCGCACCGUCGGGAGGGACGCUGCCUUAGGCCACAGAGUAAUGCCAGAGCUGAGGUACCCUCAGAUAUGAUUUGCUCACCAGCAAGGCAUGCAACUCGAGUAUAGGUUUAGUGGCUGCGAUGGCAAGGAGAGAGAUACCCCUUUUGACCACUAGCCAUCUCAGCUCCGCCUGAGUCGGGGGUUCAAAAGGCACGUCUAGGGUCUCCAGUGCCAAGGGUACGUCUCUUCAGUGGCUUUUUGGCCGCUCGCAGGACGUGAUUGCGGAGCCCCCCCAUUUUUGGGGGGUUUUUUUUGACAGAGGGACGCCAGUCUGUGGCUCCCUACUGUGUGAUGUCGACCUCAGUAGGCUGCCCCGAAAUGAGGCCGGCUAUAAUCCAAUGGUAGAGGGAGACUGUCCCUUAAAGAGGAGGGACUUGUGGAAACCCAAGUACAGCAGGCACAGGGCCUUGUACCGGGGUCCUGUUGAGAACGGCACACCGGUCAGAAAACAGUUUCUGUUUUUCUGUUUUUUUUACUCUCGGGUGGAUACAUCGCGCCCUGGGAUUCAGAAGUUGGUUUGACCGAUUUUUUGCAACCACAUAACGCCCUGUCGGUUCACCCUAUAGGCGGAAAAAGAUGUAAGACAACCGUUUACCUCUUAGAAGGGGAGAGGCUGUGGGGAAGUCGUCCACAUGCGCUGGGGUGACGGACAGCCCCACAGGGCCACCCUAAUGGUGGUAGUGCUCUGAGGAGGGCUAGGGUGGUUUCACAACGACUGGGCCCCCAGGUUCGGCAGUUGCCUGUGGGGAACAUAUGGUAGUGUUGCAUGGGUACAAGCUGGCGUCCAGGCAACUUGUGGCAGUUACUGGAGUUAGCUGGGGGAUGAGGAGGGCCAAAGUGGAACCCUAUAGAUACGCUGGCAUGUUCCUGUAAAGAAACAGAACUGCUGUCUGCCUUGGCUAUCUACAAUUCUUUGCUGAGGCGCCUGGUUUAUCAGCUAAAAAACAGCUCCUCUGGCUUCCACAGGGACACUUUGGAGGAUUCUCCGAUAUGUCUCUGACAGGGGUGACUGCGCCGGCCAAACCCAGCGGCGAGUCUGGAGCAGGGGGAACAUCAGACGUCCAAGCUCCCCCGAUAUGAGGGCAAUAUCUGCAGUGAAAUCAUUGCGGCCGGUGGAAGCGGCAAGCAAAGCUGAGAGGGCAAGCAUGAGGUGGAAAAGGGACAUGCCGAUAAGGCUCAUCACCCUGUUGUGUCAUCAGCCUUCAGUGAGCAGGAGCUCUUCUGCUACUGUGGAAACGGACCAAAUAGCCGGUCCUUAAAGUAAGAGGGGAGCGGGAGCACUCUCUUCACUAGGAUAUUUUCUGCAGAUAUCAGGAUCCCACCAGUUAGCUCAAGUGGGAGCACUUCUGCUACUGUGGACACAGGCCGAAUAGCUGGUCCUUACAGUGCGAGGGGAGCGGGAGCACUCUCGACAGUGGCUGUAGUGAAUUGUGUAUCACCUUGAGCGAGGAUACAUUGCCAACCGACAGCUGAAAGUGUGAAAAACCUCAAUGGACACCACGUCAAUGUCAAUUCAGUCCACUUAGCAUCUCUGCGAGUUAGCUUGAACGAGGACACUCUGCUAACCGAUAGUCGCAGUCUCAGGGCCAGCUUUCCACGGUCUUAGCCCAAAUGAGGACACAGUGUAACCGUGAUCAUUGCUAGAUCUUCAAUGACACAAUGUUCGUGUCGUUCUGGUCAGGUGUAGCAUCUCGUCCUGUUAGCCUGGGCGAGAGCACCCUGCUAAAUGUGUUAGCCGUAAGGUCCCAUCAGAAAUGUAGCCAGUGCUAGUGUUGAUCCAGUCAACUAGCACCACCCUCAGUCAGGAGGGGGGGCGACCUGCUAGCUGUGCUAGCCAUAAGGCAACAAACAACUUUAAACGUUCUAGUGAUGAUCUAGUCAACUAAGCACCACACCAGUUAUUCUGGGCGAGAGCACCCUGCUAGCUGUGGUAGUGGUAAGAUGUACAAAACAAAUGUACAAAAUGCUAUUGCAGAGAAUUAGCUCGUUUAAGCCUAGCUACCAGACUAACGAGAAGAUGAAAUAGGACUGAUCCCAGGAUGACACCGGUACUUAUACGUGUUGGGAGGUCAUCCGGGGUCACAGGUGACUUUGGUAAAUGGUAAAUGGACUGUACUUGUUUAGCGCUUUUCUAGUCUUCUGACCACUCAAAGCGCUUUAACACUACAUGACAUCAUUCACCCAUUCACACCCAUUCACACACUGAUGACAGGAGAACCACACACAGUGACACCUGCCAUCAGUCACUAACAUCCACACACUGUAGUCGCAGCUACAGGAGCCAUGUUGGGUUAAGCGUCUUGCCCAAGGACACAACGACAUGCGGGUUAGCCGGGCCUGGGAUCGAACCGACAACCCUCUGAUUGGAGGACGACCUGCUCCCCACUCACCCACAGUUGCCCGGCUUUGUUGGUAUAAAGACUCGACCUGAGCAUGCGCGAGACAGAAGAUAAUCCAGUGUGAAGCACUGCCUCUGGCGGUCAGUAAGGAUGAAAUAGAACCAACAUUCCUCUGGAAAGUCGGGUUUGAAAGGGGGUUAGCCUUUAAGUCAAGGUAAAAGAAACCAGAACAACCAAAUCUAUUUCAUAUUCAAAAAAGAAAUGUGGGUAAAACUGUCCCAUGUAACAAAGUCAAAUCAGUUCUAAAAUGGAGGGAUGGGCAGAUAGGUGGAGGAUGGAGGGGUGGGGUGGAGGGGGGCAGGAGAACAAGCUGAGAGGGAGAGAAAUCCCAAGAAGACAUUCUCUCAUAAUUAAUAAAUGAAAGAUGUUGUUAGUGCAUCUGAUCAAUACAGUUGUUAGGAAGAAGGAGCAAUUGAUCGGACGACAACAGGGUGAAGGAUGGAGGGAUGGAUGUGAGGGGGGGGGGGUCGUGCUAUUUGCUCUUGUGGCUGUUUCAAAUUUUCACCCUCGUUCAGAACAAAGGAGUCUCCUGAGCCUCAUCAGCACUGAUAGAUACUUAGCACC